GUGCAUCUGCGGCUUUCGUGUCCGGCCCGUGCCCUGCGGUCCUCCCUGCAAGCUCCAGGUCGGUGCUGCGGCUGCCUCGGAGGCCUCGACACCUGGAACCGGUUUCGCUUCUCUGUGCAGGAGGGAGGGUGCUGCCCAGCAGAGGAGAGACUUCGGGAGAAUCGUCCGGACUGGGCCCCGACGGUAACCUGGGGGAAGGGGCUUCAGCGUCCCGAGCUCCGCUUCCCGGCCCCGAAGGCGUACCUUGGAGGUAUUCUGGGUGUGGCUCCAGACCGCUGCAAUCAAGUGACCAUCCUGAUACAGCGAGUCACGUGGACCUUCUGGUUUCCCGGUGCCUAUGAAAGUCCAUUACUCAUCAAAAAAUAAAUCGGAGUCGACGAUGUGCCCAGGCUGGGGGACCCCUGGACGACGGCAGCGUUGCCAUCAGAUGACCCGUCUCCGUUUCUGUGUGCGGUGGCGUUUCCUUCCAGGGAGGGGGCAGGCGAGUCUCGUCGUCAGCAGGAGCUUUGCGAAGUGCAGUUGUAAAGCGAUCAUGACCGAAAAUGAUCUAUUCCCCAAACGUCCCUGCUGAGCUACAGACUUUAAUAUUAUUUUUAUCAUCCGGUGUCAAAUUUUACCAUAUAAAUUGGGCACAUCUCAAACUUAAGUCUUAAUUGAUGAGACUGUAUGAUAAAUAAAGGAUACAAAG
Molecule: long non-coding RNA, 688 nt
Organism: Phyllostomus hastatus (greater spear-nosed bat)
Lineage: Eukaryota; Metazoa; Chordata; Mammalia; Chiroptera; Phyllostomidae
Exons: 3
Source: RefSeq, a predicted model, not a curated record